Molecule: long non-coding RNA, 1878 nt
Organism: Pseudophryne corroboree (corroboree frog)
Lineage: Eukaryota; Metazoa; Chordata; Amphibia; Anura; Myobatrachidae
Exons: 4
Source: RefSeq, a predicted model, not a curated record
AGCAAGGCUCUGUUUAGUUCAAUGUGAUUUUGGAAUUUUCCCCUACUUUGCAUUAAUGUGUACUGAUUAUUAUUUGUAACAAAUGGACACAUACAUUUAUAAUUAUAUUUUUAUGCAACACUUCAUAAUUAUGUGCUCAUAGUAUUAUCUCCACUAGCUGUCCAUUUGCAGUUAGUUAAUUUGUAAGCACCCUAUAGUUCUAUUUGUCUGUGUAUAUACACUCCUUGGCCAUGUGGAUCCUAUUAGAGGGAUUAUAUAUAUGUGUAUUCCUAUUAGGACUAACCGAAUAUAGGUCCUAAUUGUUGCUAUGUAAUUAACUCUCCAGGUUCCAGAUCCAUAUGAAAUUAUAAGGACCUUGUAUUUGUAUCUGCAUUUUUCAUCCAUAAUUGACCCAAGAGGAAUGUUGUUAUUAUAGACUGUGUACGUGGGUUUCAAAAAAUGAAUAUACUUAUUGCAUCAAUGGUUGGAUACCAUACUGAUAAUUUGUAGGUACACAACUACAUGUUCUUUAUAUAGAAGUAUUUAACAAUAUACCCCUGAUUAUUAAAACUGUUAGACACCUUAUCAAGAGAAAAAAGUGGUAAAAUAUGCCUGUUGAUAAUUUUGAAUUAAGGCUAUGGUACUUAAUCGUAACAUCAUAUUAAAUAAUCCUUAUGUUAGACUAGCUAAAAUACCCCUGAUAAGAGGUUGUUCUCCAUACCAGUGGGCUAUAAUGAGAGUUGCCUCUAAGAACAGGCCCUUUUCCCCCCAUAUAUCUUUCAUUAUGAUAAGGUUGGAUAUUAAUUAAUGGUAAUUAACUCACCAGGUCCCCCACCUUUCUUGCAUGAAGUUGCUGAUUCCAUCUUUCAUACGAAUGUUUUUCAUAUUGGAGCUUUUAUGAGAUCAGAAUUUCUAGAUAUACGAGGCUGAAUUGAUGCCUCUAUAUUCCGCCUCAAUGAUGCUUUGAAACCCCCGUAUGAACUAUCUUGGCCAGCGGUCUAGAUUCAUUCUUUCUGAUAGACGUUGCUAUCUAAGCACCAGCACUGACCCAUCCUCCUCCCGGUCACCGCACUGCUCACCCAACACAGGGUCUCAGCUAUUUCUGUCAGACUGAUUAACCUUCGCCCCCUGCUGAUACUGCAUGGAUAAAAUGUUUUAUUUUUGAAAAGGGGACGUUAAUAUAUUUAUUAAAUGGACAACUCACAUCUUUAGACAAAGAAUAUGGGAUCCCGUUUUAUGAAUGGACUACAUCACAGGAAGUGACGAUUACAACUAUUAACAUUAUGAACAGCAGCAGCCGGGAGACAUUGGUCACUAAUGUACUUCCGCCGGACGGACUUCCUGAUGGGCCGCGCUUCCCACGAUGAUGCGUUUCCGGGUAGAACACCUGGUGCGUUCAUGUCAAUGACUCACUUCCUGGGAAGUGUUUAUAAGGGGAGGCCGCCAGCUAACGACCGAAAGUACGGGGAUGACGCGGCCGGAAGGAUCCAUAGGAAUUCAUGUUAUUGUAAAGAGCGGGAACUACACGUCACAGUGUUCUAAUUUGAUUGGAUAGGGUGUAUUUAUAAGAGAUGUCUGGACGAGGAACUAACAUACUGCCUUGAAAAAGACCCAAGUUCUAGGGUCGAAACGCGCUGGUAGUUGGAAGUGACGCCAUGGUUCCUGUGUCGUUAUGGCUUGCUGAACGGAGACCAGAUACAUAUCCCAGAUUGCCUACCAGGGUGGACCUUUUGGGUGAUUAUAAGAACUCUUGUUGAGAACUGUUUUUGCCACCAGUUCUCAAACAUAUCUGGUAACUGAUCAGUCUCUACAAUAUCAACAUGGAACAAUAGGAGGGCACUCUGCACUUUACUUGCUAUCUUGUUUUUACAUGUACACUUGCACUUUGUUAUAUUAAAU